GGACGACUGGAGGACUGUCGUGGGUUAAGUAGGGGGUUGGAUUUGUCGUUGGGCCGGGCUGCCCAUGUUGAAGGGGUGAAAUCUUCUAGUUCUCGGGGCGCUCGGCCAUUAGAGAAUUUCUUGAGGCUUUUAAGGCCGGGGGACAGAAUAGGAUUAGAUACCCUACUAUGCCCGGUUUAAAUCAUAAGCUCCUUUGGGUAGUAAACAGCUAUGGUCUCGAAACUCAAAGGAUUUGGCGGUACUCAAUUCUGUUUAGAGGAACCUGUGUAGUAAACGAUAGUCCGCGAACAUCUGACUCUACUUCGUGCGAUGAUCAGUCUGUAUACCGCCAUUAUAAGAUAAUCCUUACAGGGAACUAUCACAAUCAACUGGGUUGAAUAUAUUAGGUCAAGGUGCAGCCGAUAGUAGAGCUGGCAUGGGUUACAGUGAGAUAAGUUUUAUACGGACGGGCUUUUGUAAUAGAGCUCUGAAGGUGGAUUUAAAAGUAAGCUCGGUGGAUCACGCUGGGUUGAUAAGAGCUCUUGGGUGUGUACACAUCGCCCGUCGUUCUCACUCU
Molecule: ribosomal RNA, 556 nt
Filed under: Alpheus diadema
Lineage: Eukaryota; Metazoa; Arthropoda; Malacostraca; Decapoda; Alpheidae
Description: partial small subunit ribosomal RNA
Rfam family: Microsporidia small subunit ribosomal RNA
Source: RNAcentral